This 484-nucleotide ribosomal RNA is filed under the name uncultured bacterium. RNAcentral describes it as "partial 16S ribosomal RNA". It matches the Rfam family "Bacterial small subunit ribosomal RNA", at positions 29 to 507 of the family's 1533-position model. The record is from RNAcentral.
AGUGAACGCUGGCGGCAGGCCUAACACAUGCAAGUCGAGCGGCAGCGCGGGGGCAACCCUGGCGGCGAGCGGCGGACGGGUGAGGAAUUCGUCGGAAUCUGCCUUUUUGUGGGGGAUAACGUAGGGAAACUUACGCUAAUACCGCAUACGUCCUACGGGAGAAAGUGGGGGACCGCAAGGCCUCACGCAGAAAGAUGAGCCGACGACCGAUUAGCUAGUUGGUGGGGUAAAGGCCCACCAAGGCGACGAUCGGUAGCUGGUCUGAGAGGCUGAUCAGCCACACUGGGACUGAGACACGGCCCAGACUCCUACGGGAGGCAGCAGUGGGGAAUAUUGGACAAUGGGCGCAAGCCUGAUCCAGCCAUGCCGCGUGUGUGAAGAAGGCCUUCGGGUUGUAAAGCACUUUUGUCCGGAAAGAAAUCCCUGGAGCUAAUACCUUCGGGGGAUGACGGUACCGGAAGAAUAAGCACCGGCUAACUUCGUG